Molecule: RNA transcript, 1661 nt
Organism: Petromyzon marinus (sea lamprey)
Lineage: Eukaryota; Metazoa; Chordata; Hyperoartia; Petromyzontiformes; Petromyzontidae
Gene name: mitochondrial ribosome and complex I assembly factor AltMIEF1
Source: RefSeq, a predicted model, not a curated record
GCCACCGCCUUGUUCCGGCGAUUCGGCCGAGUCGUCGAUUACUUUCGUUGUUGAAUCGAUUCGCCGGGCCUCGGCUUUAAUGCAUCAUCGCUUCCCGCUGGCGGGGUUUCGUGAUCAUCGUCAACAACAACAAAAAUCUGUUUAGGAAUCGGAUUAUGGAGAUGAAUCGCGGUAUGUAAUCGCGUGCGGAGAGGAAUCGCUGGAGGGCCCCAGUCGACAACGGGGCAAGGUGAGCGGCGUGGAGAGCGAGUGGAGGAGCCAUAGUUGUGACUACGGCAGCUGUGGCGAUGCCUGGCGUGGCGGUGCAGUGGUCGCGCCCGGCCGUGCUCGGCUUGUACCGCGCGAUCCUGCGCGAGGGCCGUCGGCUGCAGUACACGGACAGAGACUUCUUCGUGUCUUCCGUCCGCCGAGAGUUCCAAAAACACCGCGACGUGCGGUCGACGGCGACGCGAGAGCAACUGCUGAAGAAGGGAUGGAACUUUCUCAACAGCAAGCUCGGGGGGCUGAUGUGAGCGACGGCUGCGGUUAAAUCUUCCUGAAGCUCCAGCCACUCGUUUGCAAGCGCUGGAUGAUUUAUGGGGGCUAAUGGCCAUGUCUAACUAGAACUAUUCCAGCAAAAGUCCUGACAGCCACCUGUGAUGAAAUAAUGUUUUCCGUUGUCGCAAGUUCAUCGUUUUUGGGCCAAUCGCAAAUGAAUGCAUAGAAAGACCGUACAAAUGUCAGUUUAUACUUUAUAUGACUUAGAUCAAAUAAUUUGGAGGCUCUUACUGAACAAAAAAAAGGAAAGUAAGAAAAUGGGGGAGGCCUUUAUCCAGUCGUGGGGAGUUACAGGCUGACACCAACAGAGCUAGCAGCUCUUAUGGCUCAAAUUUACAAAAAUAUCCGAAGACUGACAUGUUGCAAUUCACUCUUUAUGGAGCAUGAAUGAAUGCAAUUCGGCGUUGAAAAGAAGGUUCUACUGAAUGAUCUUCCAAUGGAUUUAUGACCAGAUGUGUUGUUUGACCUCAUGGUAGAACUCCAAUAUAACAUUUAGGAUACAUUUGAUAGUCUCAAACGUUAUGUUGGAUAUAAGGGCAGCAUUUCAAUAUAAUUUGCUUGAAAGUUUAAGGCCACUUCUGUUGAUGAAAAUUAAACUUACCGUAAAUACCACUAUAACACGCGUGUUUUCAUCCACGGUAUCUCAUUCCAAAACUUAAAAUUAUAUCUGCACGUGAAUUUAAUCAUGCGUGUUUUAUUACAUUUUGAACACAUUGGAUAAAAUGUCUCAAUGUUGACUGCAGUAAACACGUGUCUGAAGACCUUGUAAAGAACGGCCUUAGGAAAAGCUUACCCCUCAAUAAAUGUUGAUCAGUGUAGACUUUGAUUAGGGGCAGGACAGAGAAGUGAUCAUUUGUAAGUGCUAACGAGUGGUGCAACGUUAGCCAACAUUGCGUGCAUUGUAACCUGCAUUUGUUUGGUCCGAUAUUUUGCCCUAAUCUCGGUUAUUUUCUUGACUUAUACAUGUAUGAUGUUUUGGUCAUGAGUUUAAUAUCACCGCUGUGUAAAUUCAGUAAAGAUUCAAAAUACCGAUUGAUAAUUAUUUAUUCAUGUUGAUGAGCUGUUUCUCCGCAUGUUGUGAGUCACGGAAAUAUUGAAUCAUAAAUAAAUUUACGAUCGCCAAA